CAGUAGCCGCGGUAAUACGAACCGUGCGAACGUUAUUCGGAAUCAUUGGGCUUAAAGCGCGUGUAGGCGGAUGGGAACGUCGGUCGCUGAAAUACCCCGGCUCAACCGGGGAACUGGCAUCGAAACGACCCGUCUCGAGGGGCAUAGGGGGAGCUGGAACUUCCGGUGGAGCGGUGAAAUGCGUUGAGAUCGGAAGGAACGCCCGUGGCGAAAGCGAGCUCCUGGAUGUCUUCUGACGCUGAGACGCGAAAGCUAGGGUAGCGAACGGGAUUAGAGACCCGUGUAGUCCCUGUCUCUUAUC
RNAcentral lists this ribosomal RNA (301 nucleotides) under uncultured bacterium. Its description in RNAcentral is "partial 16S ribosomal RNA". It matches the Rfam family "Bacterial small subunit ribosomal RNA", at positions 509 to 807 of the family's 1533-position model. The record is from RNAcentral.